AUCCUUCGAAUUUUCCAUUGUUAAGUACAGCAUAUGAUGGUGAAAAGAACAUAUUCAGUGCAGUGCCAUUGCCCACUGGAUCAUUUAAGGUGGAAGUUCCUGAGGAAGAAGGCACGCGGUUCAGUUCGUACAUUUUUACUAUAAAGCUUGCAAAGGAGCUGCAGCUUUGCAAGUUGAAGGAGUACCUAAGUGGUCAGCUGUUGGAUAUCCCUCGUAACAUAUUACAGAGUAUGGACUUGGUGAUGAAAGAGAAUCCAACUAGGCGCAUGAUUGCUUUUGGGCGAA
This 285-nucleotide long non-coding RNA is filed under the name Malus domestica (apple). RNAcentral describes it as "long non-coding RNA (MDOM_LNC005275)". The record is from RNAcentral. Lineage: Eukaryota; Viridiplantae; Streptophyta; Magnoliopsida; Rosales; Rosaceae.